This is an RNA transcript of Hylaeus anthracinus, 2695 nucleotides long. It is a transcript of the gene named synaptic vesicle glycoprotein 2B-like, with no coding region annotated. The record is from RefSeq and is a predicted model, not a curated record. The transcript has 12 exons. Lineage: Eukaryota; Metazoa; Arthropoda; Insecta; Hymenoptera; Colletidae.
GCAGCGCUCGGUCCGCAGUAGUCGCGCGGAUCGAAUCGGCGUGGAUUUUCUCGCUGCGUUCGUCAACCGAUUUUUGCUCGAACGCUUUCCAGCUUAACGGGAGAGGACGUUGACAAACGCGCGGCAUCGGGUUCGCGGUCUCGGAUUUGCUUCGUGUCACCAAAACGAAACGAAGGUGAAAUAAUCCUGCGGCCGGCUCGGAAACGUCCAGGGUCGGAAGAGGAACCGACCGAUCGACCAAUUCCUCGCUGGAGCGAUGACUGACAGAAGGACCAAUGGAAAAAUCACGACCAUAAGCGCGAGAUGCGACGACGUCGACGUCGAUGAAGCAGCGGACCUCGAGAAGGCGAUAUCGGCGACAGGCUACGGAACGUUCAACGUCCUGCUAUUGAUAGCUGCGUUGCCUGCGGCAUGGACAGGAUUGUUCGACACGACUACAACCGCCUUUAUUUUGGCUUCCGCGGAGUGUGACCUGCAACUCACGUUCUUCCGUAAAGGUGUCCUCUUGGCGUUUCCCUACAUAGGCAUAACGCUGACCAGUUUUAUGUGGGACCACGUGACGCCAUACGUCGGGGCCAGAAAUCUAUUCGUCGUGGGACUCCUGCUGGACACUGUCCUGAAUAUAGUCAGCACCGUGGUCGAUUCGUACUAUGCGUUUCUAGCGAUCAAGUUCCUGAGCGGUGUUCUCGUCGGAGGGCCGUUUUCGAUAGUGUUGGGGUACUUGUCAGAAUUUCACUCGGCGGAGUACAAAGCGGGCUUCACCAGGUGGGCAGGACUCCUCGUGAACGUGGGGAUCAUUGUCCCAGCGGUCGUUGCAUUCCUGGUCUUGCCUCUGACCUGGGAGGUCGAGAUAUUCGAUCGACGAUACAACACCUGGCGAAUCUACCUGCUGAUUUGCACGACAGUUCCACUGAUCGGUCUCCUGACAGCCAGCACCCUGCCUCAAACUCCCAAAUACUUACUGGAAAUCGGCAGGACCGAGGACGCUUUGAAUUUGCUGCGGACGACGUACGCCGUCAACAGGUGGAUGCCUGCCGAUACGUUUCCGAUAAAAAAGCUCCUCGCGCGGCAGGACGCGCAGCUAUCGCGGCGGUCCUUAUUCAAGGAGAAUUCGGAAAAAAUACGGCUCGCCUUGUACAACACCAAACAGGUAUUCUCCGGGCCGUAUCUGCGCACCGUUUCUCUCCUCGGUUUCCUCCAAUUUGGCAGCAUGCUGGCGUUCAAUACGAUGAGGCUGUGGGUGCCGCAUAUGUUCAAGAUUUUGAGCAAUUUCGACGCCGAGAGGUGGACAGAGGACCGACCGCCAACCAUGAGCGAGAUGCUGGAUCGACGGAGAACCGUGCCAGCAAGAGAUUACUUGAGCUGCCCGGAUUUCGACGACAUUUGCAUGACGUGGACAAUCAACGCGCCGGUGUAUCAGAAGUCUGCCAUGAUCGCGACGUCUGCAGUCACUGUAGCAUUCCUCGCGGGGAUAAUAACCACUACCAAGUUUAGAAAAAAAAUAUUGUUGCUCGCCGGUUUCCUGUUAUCGGUCGUAGGCAGUUUCGGAUCGAACUGGGCACAGGCUCCUCUCUACAUGCUGCUAUUGUGCAUCGCCAUUAUCGUCACGACGAGAGUAACGGAUCCACCAGCCUUAACAUCCUGACAACCUUCGGGAACCUAGGAUCCAUACUGGGAAAUCUCAUUUUUUCCGCGCUGUUAAACUUGGACAGCCUCUACGGGUUCAUUGGCCUCGGUUGCCUGAUGUUCGCCUGCUUCUGCCUGUCCUUCCUUCCAUUGGAACCAGUGAAGCCGUCGCCGAAAAGCCUCGAUCGGCCCACCGUGUGACCUGCCAACGAGGAAGACGAGACAAACCGCACGGUUGAAACCUACAAACUGCGCCAGCAGUUUUCCAUUCACCGCAUCCUGAAUCCUGUCACGGACAGGAGGGUAGCGUGCUACUUCGCGAGCUACCGUUUCUCGUCGAUGCGACAAUUUUAAUCAAUUUUUACGUAAUUUACUAGAAAUAUAUACAUAUAUAUUUUUGUAACUAUGAAACGACGCACGCUGUUCUUCCGCGCUUCGAGGCUCCACCCUUGCCGUUUCUAUUGUUCAAAGGAAACGAGAAUUCGAGAGUGUGUCGUUUUUUUACGAGGUUCGUGGAACGUCGGGUCAUUCGGACCAUUAACGAGUGCUGCAUACGAAAGGAGCGUCAAAGAAAAUUUAAUUAACGCCGUGUAUCGGUUUUGCGGAACGUUAAUAACGCAGUUACCGCGAUAAACAAACCGUGGCUGCUCGCUGCGGAGCUGGUUGCGCAAGGUGAGUCGCUGUAUCGGAAUCGAAGGUUACUUUCAGCAACGCUCGAUUAAUUUUGCGCCAACGCGAAAAGAUAAUGCAUCGUGUCAUGUCGAUUGCGAAGCGAGAGAGAGAGAGAGAGAUCGAAACGCGAGAGAUAUUUUUAACAACCCCUACGCCGUCGGUGGCCGACGGACCGCGGUAGCGGCAGGUUUAGUUGGACUAUAAAUAAUUUAAUACGUUCGAUAUGCACCUGCGACGAUUAAAGCAGGGUUAGUUUCUCUUUUUAUUCGGUCAUCGCGAAGUGCUUUCCGAGCGCGCUAAACCUCGGCUUAUCCCUUUAAACUCUCGUUUUGAACUCUACUCAGCGCGGUAUUAACGUUGUCCGAUUCACAGCAAGGUUACAAUUACGGUCGCGGAA